CAAGGGCACUGGCAAUCUGGCAUAGCUGCAAGCCAGAUAUAAACAACUGCUCUUCUAAUCAACUUGAUCUAAUGCAAGGCUUUAGAACACAAUUUCUAAGAGCAAUGAGUGUAGCUUCAAUUUCACGAGUAGAUUCUAAUUUAUGAAUGAUUUUGUGUAGUUUAUUUAUCACAAUGAUUUUGACUUUGUUCUUGCUCUUGCCACCACAUCUCCUUCAUUGCAUGAACUGACUUGAUGAUUCCCUCUCAUAAGGUAUUCGACAAGAUCGACAAGAUUCGUUGCGUGUGACCGACUUGAUGAUUCUUUUUGGAAUUACUUCCUGAGUCCUUUUUUUGUGGUUGACAUAGAGAGCUGCAACGGGAAUUAAACGCAUUAAU
Long non-coding RNA from Trifolium pratense (red clover), 377 nucleotides. RefSeq lists it as uncharacterized. NCBI's taxonomy places the organism in Eukaryota, Viridiplantae, Streptophyta, Magnoliopsida, Fabales, Fabaceae. The transcript is spliced from 3 exons. The record is from RefSeq and is a predicted model, not a curated record.